GGUCAGACAGUCAGAAUACUCCUGUUUCGAGUUGAAGUCAUUUGGACCUGAGAGCAACUGCAAACUGAAGAAAAUGAAGAUCCAAAUUUUGGUGCUGGCCUUUGCUUUGGUGGCUGUGAUCACUGCAGCACCAGCAGCACCAGCCAAAAAGGCUGCUUCAGUAGACCCAGAUGAAAAGGCUCUGGACGAUGCUAUUGCCAAGAACAGCCCUGCAAUAGACAAGGCGCUCAAAGACGUCACUGACGACGAUGCGAUGU
Molecule: non-coding RNA, 257 nt
Organism: Epinephelus lanceolatus (giant grouper)
Lineage: Eukaryota; Metazoa; Chordata; Actinopteri; Perciformes; Serranidae
Source: RefSeq, a predicted model, not a curated record